This 253-nucleotide ribosomal RNA is filed under the name uncultured bacterium. Its description in RNAcentral is "partial 16S ribosomal RNA". It matches the Rfam family "Bacterial small subunit ribosomal RNA", at positions 524 to 776 of the family's 1533-position model. The record is from RNAcentral.
UACGUAGGGCGCAAGCGUUGUCCGGAAUUAUUGGGCGUAAAGAGCGUGUAGGCGGCCUGAAAGGUCAGCUGUAAAAACUCGGGGCUCAACCCUGAGACGUCGGUUGAAACCAUCUGGCUAGAGUCCGGAAGAAGAGUGUGGAAUUCCCGGUGUAGCGGUGAAAUGCGCAGAUAUCGGGAAGAACACCCGUGGCGAAGGCGGCACUCUGGGACGGUACUGACGCUGAGACGCGAAAGCGUGGGGAGCGAACAGG